UGGGGAAUAUUGCACAAUGGAGGGAACUCUGAUGCAGCGACGCCGCGUGAACGAAGAAGGCUUUCGAGUCGUAAAGUUCUUUUAUAUGGGAAGAUAAUGACGGUACCAUAAGAAAAAGCCCCAGCUAACUACGUGCCAGCAGCCGCGGUAAUACGUAGGGGGCUAGCGUUGUCCGGAAUCACUGGGCGUAAAGGGUUCGCAGGCGGAAAUGCAAGUCAGGUGUAAAAGGCAGUAGCUUAACUACUGUAAGCAUUUGAAACUGCAUAUCUUGAGAAGAGUAGAGGUAAGUGGAAUUUUUAGUGUAGCGGUGAAAUGCGUAGAUAUUAAAAAGAAUACCGGUGGCGAAGGCGGCUUACUGGGCUCAUUCUGACGCUGAGGAACGAAAGCGUGGGUAGCAAACAGG
This 403-nucleotide ribosomal RNA is filed under the name bacterium. Its description in RNAcentral is "partial 16S ribosomal RNA". It matches the Rfam family "Bacterial small subunit ribosomal RNA", at positions 355 to 776 of the family's 1533-position model. The record is from RNAcentral.